UACGGAGGGUGCAAGCGUUAUCCGGAUUCACUGGGUUUAAAGGGUGCGUAGGUGGGCAAGUAAGUCAGUGGUGAAAUCUUCGAGCUUAACUCGGAAACUGCCAUUGAUACUAUUUAUCUUGAAUACUCUGGAGGUAAGCGGAAUAUGUCAUGUAGCGGUGAAAUGCUUAGAUAUGACAUAGAACACCAAUUGCGAAGGCAGCUUACUAGGCUGUAACUGACGCUGAGGCACGAAAGUGUGGGGAUCAAACAGG
This 253-nucleotide ribosomal RNA is filed under the name uncultured bacterium. RNAcentral describes it as "partial 16S ribosomal RNA". It matches the Rfam family "Bacterial small subunit ribosomal RNA", at positions 524 to 776 of the family's 1533-position model. The record is from RNAcentral.